AAAAAAAUUAAAAUAAUAACAGAAAUAAAAAAAGAAAUAAAAACAGCAAUAACAAUAUUAAUAACAACAUUAAUAAGGACAACACUUGUAAAAACAGGGUGCAAUGAGCUUUAAUGUCAACCAUCCUCUAGAGAUAAAUAAUAAUGAUCUUAACAAACAUGUAGGUAUAACUAUUAAAAAAAAUAUAAAUAAGCAUCAAUAUAUAUCAAACAUUUUUAAAUAUUUUAAAUCCGUACAUAAAAAUAUACCUAUACAUGAGUACGAUAACAUACUCAAAUGUAUGUUAGUGAAUAAUGAUAAGUAUGAAGAUAAUAUAAACAAUUGUAAUUAUAUAAAUAAGGACAAUAACAUUCACAAUUAUCAUAAUAAAAAUAUACUUCCAAGCUCAAAUAAAUCAAUGACACACUAUAAUAAUAAUAAUAAUAAUAAUAAUUAUAACAAUAUUAAUAAUAAUAAUAUUAAUAAUAAUAACAAUAAUUAUAAUUUUUGUGAUAUCAAAAGCCCACAAGUGAAUAUUAAUAUUUCAAAAAAAGAAAAUCCCCAAAAAAAAUAUAUAUACAUGAACAAAGAUAAACAUAAAACUGAUAUAUUGAAAGAUAAAACUAAAGGAUAUGUAAGUGAUAGUAAUAUGUAUGUAAAUAAAAAAAAUAAAGAAAUGGCUAGUAAGGCGGAUAACAAUAACACACAAAAAAAUGUUGCCAAGAAUAAACCUCUUUUGGUAUCAUGUGAAAGGGGUUUAUAUAAUAAUAAAAAUUUUACUAACUUAGGGAAUGAUUCGAUUACAAACAAUAGCAAUGACAAUGGUAAUAAUAUUGGAAAUGGAAAUGAUAAUGGUAACAGUGAUAAAAAUGACAACGAAAACGAUAAAAAAGAAGUAGACAUAAGCACGUAUAAAAAAAAAAUAAAUCAAAUUAGUCAAAUACUAUAUAACUUGAACAGCUUCAAUAAAUUUAAUAAUUUUAAAUUUGAAAAGCAUGAACAAAAAAAGUUUAAGUCAACAAAAAAAGGAAAUAACAAGGAAAAAGAAGAAGUAGAGGCAGAGAAAACGAAUCAUACAUCCAAAAUGAAGUUAUCAAGUAAUGAAAAACAAAAUGAAAUGGAAAAAAGUAUAUACACACGAACAAAAAUUGAAACAGAAGGCGGAAAAAGUAUAACAAACAGAAAUGGUUAUUUAAACCAACCAAUAAACAAUUUAAAAAUAAAAAAAGAAUAUUUAAAAAAUGAAAACAUUGUAGCUCAUGAUAUCUUUUUAUUACAAAGACAAAAACGAAUAAUCAAAUUAUUAAAUAAAAAAGAAAAAAAAUUAAAAAUAAACAUUGCUACUGAUAGUGUAACAACUAAAAGUACAGUUUGUCAACAUAAAACAAAUACCAAAGAAAAAAAAGUCAUUGAAAUUGAUAAAAAAAUUAAUGGUUAUCGUUCUGAUGACCAUUUUGAUAAUAUAAACAAGAAAAAUGAAAUUAGUAGUAAUAGUAAUGAGAUUAAUAGAAAUAGUAAUAUCAACGUUAACGAAGAAAACCAUAUCAGCACUGACAAAGGUCAAGUAGAGGUAGUAAAAGAAAUAGAAGAUAAUGAAGGUUUUAAAGGAUUUGCGUAUAAUAUAUUACCCCAAUCAUGUGAUAAUAUAAACAAUGGUUUUAUACUGAAAAAAAAAAAAAAAAAAAAAAAAAAAAAAAAAUGCAAACAAUACAAACGAUUCAAACGAUGUAAAACAUACAAACGGUGUUGAUACAGGAUAUAUACAACCUGAUCUGAAUGAAAAGAGUUAUAUAUCCAACAAUAGUAACAGUUAUAGUUGUAGCAAUGAUGUUAUAAAUACAAACAUUUUAAUUAGUGAUAGCGAUUUUCAUGAUGCUUAUGAAAAAAAAAAUGAUAAGAACGGCUUUGUUCAUAAUCUUUUAUUUACUAAUGAUAAACAGUACAAUUCUAAGUUAGAUCAAAACACUAUAAAAAAGGUUAAUUCCGAUGCAUCAAAACAAUAUAAAAAAAGAAUGAACAAGUUAUUGGAAUCGGUUGAUUAUAAAUGCACUAGUAAUAACGGUAGUGAAUAUAUUGAUUAUAAUAAUGGACCCAAUGGCUAUGCAAGUAGUGUAAGUUUGAUGAAUUAUAAUGUGAAAGAAACGACAAAAAAAAAUAAAAAUAACAAAAAUAGUAUGCCUAAAAAAAAA
Molecule: long non-coding RNA, 2168 nt
Filed under: Piliocolobus tephrosceles (Ugandan red Colobus)
Lineage: Eukaryota; Metazoa; Chordata; Mammalia; Primates; Cercopithecidae
Description: lncRNA (ENSPTEG00000012933.1)
Source: RNAcentral